RNAcentral lists this long non-coding RNA (27085 nucleotides) under Triticum aestivum (bread wheat). RNAcentral's name for it is "long non-coding RNA (TAES_LNC007908)". Lineage: Eukaryota; Viridiplantae; Streptophyta; Magnoliopsida; Poales; Poaceae. The record is from RNAcentral.
GGCAUCCCCCAAAUAUCAGAACAACCCAGACAUAUCAGGAACCAAAAGACCCUAUCAUCCCAAUAGACUGGUGCAUUGAUAUAAGGUUAAGCUUUCUCCUUGUUGUUUGCCAACUUGGAUCACUACCUCAUCUUUCGACGCUUCCUCUUUAGCCUCCUCAUCCUCUUCUUCUUCCACUGCAAAGUAAAGUAACCGCAGAGUUCAUUAGUACUAGUAGUAUUCAAGGAAAUGCUUAGGAACAUAACAAUAAUUCUAAUAUGAAAACUGAGAUAUAGCAGCAUGUGACUUGGAAUCAGAAGAUCGAGUGUUUCAUUGGAUAUCAUCACGUGAUUUUCAGAAACACGAGCCAAUUGUCCUUCAUCAUUUCCCAAACUUAAGUCAAUUUCAAAUUGAAAUAGGACACAACUUUCUAUGAUAUCUACAGAACUAACUCAGCAAAGCAGAUCUGCAGUCGGUUUGACAUUAAGAAUGAGUAGGAGGAUUUUAUCAUCAAAUGAAUGGAUUGUCCACACAAUUCAACUAAAUGGAUUGCAUCAGACUCAUCAGUGUAUUCAUCUGUUGGAAAUAUGCCCUAGAGGCAAUAAUAAAAUGGUUAUUAUUAUAUUUCCUUGUUCAUGAUAAUUGUCUAUUGUUCAUGCUAUAAUUGUAUUAACUGGAAACCGUAAUACAUGUGUGAAUACAUAGACCACAACAUGUCCCUAGUUGACUAGCUCGUUGAUCAAUAGAUGGUUAUGGUUUCCUGACCAUGGACAUUGGAUGUCAUUGAUAACAGGAUCACAUCAUUAGGAGAAUGAUGUGAUGGACAAGACCCAAUCCUAAGCAUAGCACAAGAUCGUGUAGUUCGUUUGCUAAAAUCUUUUCUAAUGUCAAGUAUCAUUUCCUUAGACCAUGAGAUUGUGCAACUCCCGGAUACCGUAGGAAUGCUUUGGGUGUGCCAAACGUCACAACGUAACUGGGUGGCUAUAAAGGUGCACUACGGGUAUCUCCGAAAGUGUCUGUUGGGUUGGCACGAAUCGAGACUGGGAUUUGUCACUCCGUGUGACGGAGAGGUAUCUCUGGGCCCACUCGGUAAUGCAUCAUCAUAAUGAGCUCAGUGUGACUAAGUAGUUAGUCACGGGAUCAUGCAUUACGGAACGAGUAAAGUGACUUGCUGGUGACGAGAUUGAACGAGGUAUUGGGAUACCGACGAUCGAAUCUCGGGCAAGUAACGUACUGAUUGACAAAGGGAAUUGUAUACAGGAUUGCUUGAAUCCUUGACAUCGUGGUUCAUCCGAUGAGAUCAUCGUGGAACAUGUGGGAGCCAACAUGGGUAUCCAGAUCCCACUAUUGGUUAUUGGCCAGAGAGCUGUCUCGGUCAUGUCUGCAUGAUUCCCGAACCCAUAGGGUCUACACACUUAAGGUUCGGUGACGCUAGAGUUGUUAUGGGAAUUAGUGUGCAGUUACGAAUGUUGUUCGGAGUCCCGGAUGACAUCCCGGACGUCACGAGGAGUUCCGAAAUGGUUCGGAGGUAAAGAUUUAUAUAUGGGAAGUCCUAUUUUGGCCACCGGAAAAUGUUCGGGAUUUUUCGGUAUUGUACCGAGAAGGUUCUAGAAGGUUCCGAAGUUGGGCCACCUGCAUGGGGGGACCCACAUGAACGUGGGUAGUGGGGGAAAGGCCCCACACCCCUGGUCAAGGCGCACCAAGAUCCCCCCUUAGAAGGAAUAAGAUCAUAUCCCGAAGGGAUAAGAUCAAGAUCCCUAAAAAGGGGGGAGAAUAAUCGGUUGGGAAGGGAAAUGACGGGGUUUCUUUCCUCCCACCUUUGCCAACGCCCCAAUGGACUUGGAGGGAAAGAAACCAGCCCCCUCCAACCCUAUAUAUAGUGGGGAGGCGCAUGGGAGCUGCAACCCUUGUUAGGGAACGUAGUAAUUUCAAAAAAAUUCCUACGCACACGCAAGAUCAUGGUGAUGGCAUAGCAACGAGAGGGGAGAGUGUUGUCUACGUACCCUCGUAGACCGUUAAGCAGAAGCGUUAUGACAACGCGGUUGAUGUAGUCGUACGUCUUCACGAUCCGACCGAUCCAAGCACCGAACGUACGGCACCUCCGUGUUCAGCACACGUCCAGCUCGAUGACGUUCCCCGGGCUCCAAUCCAGCAAAGCGUCGGGGAUGAGUUCCGUCAGCAUGACGGCGUGGUGAUGAUGAUGAUGUUCUACCGGCACAGGGCUUCACCUAAACUCCGCGAUGUUAUAACCGAGGUGGAAUAUGGUGGAGGGGGCACCGCACACGGCUAAGGAACGAUCCGUAGAUCAACUUGUGUGUCUCUAGGNNNNNNNNNNNNNNNNNNNNNNNNNNNNNNNNNNNNNNNNNNNNNNNNNNNNNNNNNNNNNNNNNNNNNNNNNNNNNNNNNNNNNNNNNNNNNNNNNNNNNNNNNNNNNNNNNNNNNNNNNNNNNNNNNNNNNNNNNNNNNNNNNNNNNNNNNNNNNNNNNNNNNNNNNNNNNNNNNNNNNNNNNNNNNNNNNNNNNNNNNNNNNNNNNNNNNNNNNNNNNNNNNNNNNNNNNNNNNNNNNNNNNNNNNNNNNNNNNNNGCAAGGGGGGAGGCCGGCCGGCCCUUGUGGGCGCGCAAGGAGGAGGAGUCCUCCUCCUAGUAGGAGUAGGACUCCCCCUUUCCUACUCCUACUAGGAGGGGGAAAGGAAGGGGGAGAGGGGGAAGGAAAGAGGGGGGGGCGCCCCCCCCCCUCCUAGUCUAAUUCGGACCAGAGGGAGAGGGGGCGCGAGGCCCACCCUGGCCGCCCCUCUCUCUUUCCACUAAGGCCCAUGUGGACCAUUAACUCUCCCGGGGGGGUUCCGGUAACCCUCCGGCACUCCGGUUUUCUCUGAAAUCACCCGGAACACUUCCGGUGUCCGAGUAUAGUCGUCCAAUAUAUCAAUAUUUAUGUCUCGACCAUUUCGAGACUCCUCGUCAUGUCCGUGAUCACAUCCGGGACUCCGAACAAACUUCGGUACAUCAAAACUUAUAAACUCAUAAUAAAACUGUCAUCGUAAUGUUAAGCGUGCGGACCCUACGGGUUUGAGAACUAUGUAGACAUGACCUAGAACUAUUCUCGGUCAAUAACCAAUAGUGGAACCUGGAUGUUCAUAUUGGUUCCUGCAUAUUCUAUGAAGAUCUUUAUCGGUCAAACCGCAUAACAACAUACGUUGUUCCCUUUGUCAUUGGUAUGUUACUUGCCCGAGAUUCGAUCGUCGGUAUCCAAUACCUAGUUCAAUCUCGUUACCGGCAAGUCUCUUUACUCGUUCCGUAAUACAUCAUUUUGUAACUAACUCAUUAGUUACAAUGCUUGCAAGGCUUAAGUGAUGAGUAUUACCGAGAGGGCCCAGAGAUACCUCUCCGACAAUCGGAGUGACAAAACCUAAUCUCGAAUUAUGCCAACUCAACAUGUACCUUUGGAGACACCUGUAGAGCACCUUUAUAAUCACCCAGUUACGUUGUGACGUUUGGUAGCACACAAAGUGUUCCUCCGGUAAACAGGAGUUGCACAAUCUCAUAGUUGUAGGAACUUUGUAUAAGUCAUGAAGAAAGCAAUAGCAACAUACUAAACGAUCAAGUGCUAAGCUAACGGAAUGGGUCAAGUCAAUCACAUCAUUCUCCUAAUGAUGUGAUCCCAUUAAUCAAAUGACAACACAUGUCUAUGGUUAGGAAACAUAACCAUCUUUGAUCAAUGAGCUAGUCAAGUAGAGGCAUACUAGUGAUACUAUGUUUGUCUAUGUAUUCACACAUGUAUCAUGUUUCCGGUUAAUACAAUUCUAGCAUGAAUAAUAAACAUUUAUCAUGAUAAGAGGAAAUAAAUAAUAACUUUAUUAUUGCCUCUAGGGCAUAUUUCCUUCAGUCUCCCACUUGCACUAGAGUCAAUAAUCUUAGAUCACAUAGUAAUGAUUCUAACACCCAUGGAGUCUUGGUGCUGAUCAUGUUUUGCUCGUGAGAGAGGCUUAGUCAACGAGUCUGCAACAUUCAGAUCCGUAUGUAUCUUGCAAAUCUCUAUGUCUCCCACUUGGACUUGGUCCUGAAUGGAAUUGAAGCGUCUCUUGAUGUGCUUGGUCCUCUUGUGAAAUCUGGAUUCCUUUGCCAAGGCAAUUGCACCAGUAUUGUCACAGAAGAUCUUCAUUGGUCCCGAUGCACUAGGUAUAACACCUACAUCGGAAAUGAACUCCUUCAUCCAGACCCCUUCAUUUGCUGCUUCCGAAGCAGCUAUGUACUCCGCUUCACAUGUAGAUCUCGCCACGACGCUUUGUUUAGAACUGCACCAACUUACAGCUCCACCGUUUAAUAAAAAUACGUAUCUGGUUUGCGAUUUAGAAUCAUCCGGAUCAGUGUCAAAGCUUGCAUCGACGUAACCAUUUACGACUAGCUCUUUGUCACCUCCAUAUACGAGAAACAUAUCCUUAGUCCUUUUCAGGUAUUUCAGGAUGUUCUUUACCGCUGUCCAGUGACCCACUCCUGGAUUACUUUGGUACCUCCCUGCCAAACUAAUAGCAAGGCACACAUCAGGUCUGGUACACAGCAUUGCAUACAUGAUAGAGCCUAUGGCUGAAGCAUAGGGAACUCAUUUUAUUUUCUCUCUAUCUUCUGCAGUGGUCGGGCAUUGAGUCUGACUCAACUUUAUACCUUGUAAUACAGGCAAGAACCCUUUCUUCGCCUGAUCCAUAUUGAACCUUUUCAACACUUUAUCAAGGUACGUGCAUUGUGAAAGUCCAAUCAAGCGUCUUGAUCUAUCUCUAUAGAUCUUAAUGCCCAAUAUGUAAGCAGCUUCACCGAGGUCUUUCAUUGAAAAACUUUUAUUCAAGUAUCCUUUUAUGCUAUUCAGAAAUUCUAUAUCAUUUCCAAUCAACAAUAUGUCAUCCACAUAUAAUAUUAGAAAUGCUACAGAGCUCCCACUCACUUUCUUGUAAAUACAGGGUUCUCCAAAAGUCUGUAUAAAACCAUAUGCUUUGAUCACACUAUCAAAGCGUUUAUUCCAACUCCGAGAGGCUUGCACCAGACCAUAGAUUGAUCGCUGGAGCUUGCACACUUUGUUAGCUCCCUUAGGAUCGACAAAACCUUCCGGUUGUAUCAUAUACAACUCUUCUUCCAGAAAUCGAUUCAGAAAUGCAGUUUUGACAUCCAUCUGCCAAAUUUCAUAAUCAUAAAAUGCGGCAAUCGCUAACAUGAUUCAAACAUACUUAAGCAUCGCUACGGGUGAGAAAGUCUCAUCGUAGUCAACCUCUUGAACUUGUCGAAAACCUUUCGCAACAAGUCGAGCUUUAUAGACAGUUACAUUACCGUCAGCGUCAGUCUUCUUCUUAAAGAUCCAUUUAUUCUCAAUGGCUUGCCGAUCAUCGGGCAAGUCAACCAAAGUCCAUACUUUGUUCUCAUACAUGGAUCCCAUCUCAGAUUUCAUGGCUUCUAGCCAUUUUGCGGAAUCUGGGCUCAUCAUUGCUUCCUCAUAGUUCGUAGGUUCAUCAUGGUCAAGUAACAUGACUUCCAGAAUAGGAUUACCGUACCACUCUGGUGCAGAUUUUAUUCUGGUAGACCUACGAGGUUCAGUAGAAACUUGAUCUGAAGUUUCAUGAUCAAUAUCAUUAUCUUCGUCACUAAUUGGUGUAGAUGUCACAGUAAGCAGACAUAGUUAUCUCAUCAAGUUCUACUUUCCUCCCACUCACUUCUUUCGAGAGAAACUCUUUUUCUAGAAAGGAUCCAUUCUUAGCAACGAAUGUCUUGCCUUCGGAUCUGUGAUAGAAGGUGUACCCAACAGUCUCUUUUGGGUAUCCUAUGAAGACACAUUUCUCCGAUUUGGGUUCGAGCUUAUCUGGUUGAAGUUUCUUCACAUAAGCAUCGCAACCCCAAACUUUAAGAAACGACAACUUUGGUUUCUUGCCAAACCACAGUUCAUAAGGCGUCGUCUCAACGGAUUUUGAUGGUGCCCUAUUCAAUGUGAAUGCAGCCGUCUCUAAAGCAUAACCCCAAAACGAUAGCGGUAAAUUAGUAAGAGACAUCAUAGAUCACACCAUAUCUAGUAAAGUACGAUUACGACGUUCGGACACACCAUUUCGUUGUGGUGUUCCGGGUGGCGUGAAUUGCGAAACUAUUCCGCAUGGUUUCAAAUGUAAACCAAACUCGUAACUCAAAUAUUCUCCUCCACGAUCAGAUCGUAGAAACUUAAUUUUCUUGUUACGAUGAUUUUCCACUUCACUCUGAAAUUCUUUGAACUUUUCAAAUGUUUCAGACUUGUGUUUCAUUAAGUAGAUAUACCCAUAUCUGCUCAAAUCAUCUGUGAAGGUGAGAAAAUAACGAUAUCCGCCACGAGCUUCAAUAUUCAUCGGUCCACAUACAUCUGUAUGUAUGAUUUCCAACAAAUCUGUUGCUCUCUCCAUAGUACCGGAGAACGGUGUUUUAGUCAUCUUGCCCAUGAGGCACGGUUCGCAAGUACCAAGUGAUUCAUAAUCAAGUGAUUCCAAAAGUCCAUCAGUAUGGAGUUUCUUCAUGCGCUUUACACCGAUAUGACCUAAACGGCAGUGCCACAAAUAAGUUGCACUAUCAUUAUCAACUCUGCAUCUUUUGGCUUCGACAUUAUGAAUAUGUGUAUCACUACUAUCGAGAUUCAAUAAAAAUAGACCACUCUUCAAGGGUGCAUGACCAUAAAAGAUAUUACUCAUAUAAAUAGAACAACCAUUAUUCUCUGAUUUAAAUGAAUAACCGUCUCGCAUCAAACAAGAUCCAGAUAUAAUGUUCAUGCUCAACGCUGGCACCAAAUAACAAUUAUUCAGGUCUAAAACUAAUCCUGAAGGUAGAUGUAGAGGUAGCGUGCCGACCGCGAUCACAUCGACUUUGGAACCAUUUCCCACGCGCAUCGUCACCUCGUCCUUGGCCAGUGCUCGCUUAUUCCGUAGUCCCUGUUUUGAGUUGCAAAUAUUAGCAACAGAACUAGUAUCAAAUACCCAGGUGCUACUACGAGCUCUAGUUAGGUACACAUCAAUAACAUGUAUAUCACAUAUACCUUUGUUCACUUUUCCAUCCUUCUUAUCCGCCAAAUACUUGGGGCAGUUCCGCUUCCAGUGACUAGUUUGCUUGCAGUAGAAGCACUCAGUUUCAGGCUUAGGUCCAGACUUGGGUUUCUUCUCUUGAGCAGCAACUUGCUUGCUGUUCUUCUUGAAGUUCCCCUUCUUCUUCCCUUUGCCCUUUUUCUUGAAACUAGUGGUCUUGUUGACCAUCAACACUUGAUGCUCCUUCUUGAUUUCUACCUCCACAGCCUUUAGCAUUGCGAAGAGCUCGGGAAUUGUCUUGUUCAUCCCUUGCAUAUUAUAGUUCAUCACGAAGCUCUUGUAGCUUGGUGGCAGUGAUUGGAGAAUUCUGUCAAUGACGCUAUCAUCCGGAAGAUUAACUCCCAGUUGAAUCAAGUGAUUAUUAUACCCAGACAUUUUGAGUAUAUGCUCACUGACAGAACUAUUCUCCUCCAUCUUGCAGCUGUAGAACUUAUUGGAGACUUCAUAUCUCUCAAUCCGGGCAUUUGCUUGAAAUAUUAACUUCAACUCCUGGAACAUCUCAUAUGCUCCAUGACGUUCAAAACAUCGUUGAAGACCCGGUUCUAAGCCGUAAAGCAUGGCACACUGAACUAUAGAGUAGUCAUCAGCUUUGCUCUGCCAGACGUUCACAACAUCUGGCGUUGCUCCUGCAGCAGGCCUGGCACCCAGCGGUGCUUCUAGGACGUAAUUCUUCUGUACAGCAAUGAGGAUAAUCCUCAAGUUACGGACCCAGUCCGUGUAAUUGCUACCAUCAUCUUUCAACUUUGCUUUCUCAAGGAACGCACUAAAAUUCAACGGAACAACAGCAUGAGCCAUCUAUCUACAACAAACAUAGACAAGCAAAAUACUAUCAGGUACUAAGUUCAUGAUAAAUUUAAGUUCAAUUAAUCAUAUUACUUAAGAACUCCCACUUAGAUAGAUAUCUCUCUAGUCAUCUAAGUGAUUACGUGAUCCAAAUCAACUAAACCAUAACCGAUCAUCACGUGAGAUGGAGUAGUUUUCAAUGGUGAACAUCACUAUGUUGAUCAUAUCUACUAUAUGAUUCACACUCGACCUUUCGGUCUCUGUGUUCCGAGGCCAUAUCUGCAUAUGCUAGGCUCGUCAAGUAUAACCUGAAUAUUUUGCGUGUGCAAAACUGGCUUGCACCGGUUGUAGAUGGACGUAGAGCUUAUCACACCCGAUCAUCACGUGGUGUGUGGGCACGACGAACUUUGGCAACGGUGCAUAUUCAGGGAGAACACUUCUUGAUAAUUUUUAGUGAGAGAACAUCUUAAAAUGCUACCGUCAAUCAAAGCAAGAUAAUAUGCAUAAAGGAUAAACAUCACAUGCAAUCAAUAUAAGUGAUAUGAUAUGGCCAUCAUCAUCUUGUGCUUGUGAUCUCCAUCUCCGAAGCACCAUCGUGAUCACCAUCGUCACCGGCGCGACACCUUGAUCUUCAUCGUAGCAUCGUUGUCGUUUACGCCAUCUAUUGCUUCUACGACUAUCGCUACCACUUAGUGAUAAAGUAAAGCAAUUACAGGGCGUUUGCAUUUCACACAAUAAAGCGACAACCAUAUGGCUCCUGCCAGUUGCCGAUAACUUCAGUUACAAAACAUGAUCAUCUCAUACAAUAAAUAUAGCAUCACGUCUUGACCAUAUCACAUCACAACAUGCCCUGCAAAAACAAGUUAGACGUCCUCUACUUUGUUGUUGCAAGUUUUACGUGGCUGCUAUGGGCUUAGCAAGAACCGUUCUUACCUACGCAUCAAAACCACAACGAUAGUUCAUCAAGUUAGUGUUGUUUUAACCUUUGCAAGGACCGGGCGUAGCCACACUCGGUUCAACUAAAGUUGGAGACACUGACACCCGCCAGCCACCUAUGUGCAAAGCACGUCGGUAGAACCAGUCUCGCGUAAGCGUACGCGUAAUGUCGGUCCGGGCCGCUUCAUCCAACAAUACCGCCGAACCAAAGUAUGACAUGCUGGUAAGCAGUAUGACUUGUAUCGCCCACAACUCACUUGUGUUCUACUCGUGCAUAUAACAUCAACGCAUAAAACCUAGGCUCGGAUGCCACUGUUAGGGAACGUAGUAAUUUCAAAAAAAUUCCUACGCACACGCAAGAUCAUGGUGAUGGCAUAGCAACGAGAGGGGAGAGUGUUGUCUAUGUGCCCUCGUAGACCGUUAAGCGUAAGCGUUAUGACAACGCGGUUGAUGUAGUCGUACGUCUUCACGAUCCGACCGAUCCAAGCACUGAACGUAUGGCACCUCCGUGUUUAGCACACGUCCAGCUCGAUGACGUUCCCCGGGCUCCAAUCCAGCAAAGCGUCGGGGAUGAGUUCCGUCAGCACGGCGGCGUGGUGACGAUUAUGAUGUUCUACCGGCGCAGGGCUUCGCCUAAACUCCGCGACGAUAUAACUGAGGUGGAAUAUGGUGGAGGGGGGCACCGCACACGGCUAAGGAACGAUCCGUAGAUCAACUUGUGUGUCUCUAGGGUGCCCCCCACCCCCGUAUAUAAAGGAGCAAGGGGGAGGCCGGCCGGCCCUUGUGGGCACGCCAAGGAGGAGUCCUCCUCCUCCUAGUAGGAGUAGGACUCCCCCUUUCCUACUCCUACUAGGAGGGGGAAAGGAAGGGGAGAGGGGGAAGGAAAGAGGGGGCGCCGCCCCCCCCCCUCCUAGUCCAAUUUGGACCAGAGGGAGAGGGGGAGCGCGGCCCACCCUGGCCGCCCCUCUCUGUUUCCACUAAGGCCCAUGUGGCCCAUUAACUCUCCCGGGGGGGUUCCGGUAACCCUCCGGCACUCAGGUUUUCUCCGAAAUCACCCGGAAUACUUCCGGUGUCCGAAUAUAGUUGUCCAAUAUAUCAAUCUUUAUAUCUCGACCAUUUCGAGACUCCUUGUCAUGUCUGUGAUCACAUACGGGACUCCGAACAAACUUCAGUACAUCAAAACUUAUAAACUCAUAAUAAAAUUGUCAUCGUAACGUUAAGCGCGCGGACCCUACGGGUUCGAGAACUAUGUAGACAUGACCUAGAACUAUUCUCGGUCAAUAACCAAUAGUGGAACCUGGAUGUUCAUAUUGGUUCCUACAUAUUCUACGAAGAUCUUUAUCGGUCAAACCGCAUAACAACAUACGUUGUUCCCUUUGUCAUCGGUAUGUUACUUGCCCGAGAUUCGAUCGUCGGUAUCCAAUACCUAGUUCAAUCUCGUUAUCGGCAAGUCUCUUUACUCGUUUCGUAAUACAUCAUUUCGUAACUAACUCAUUAGUUACAAUGCUUGCAAGGCUUAAGUGAUGAGUAUUACCAAGAGGGCCCAGAGAUACCUCUCCGACAAUCGGAGUGACAAAACCUAAUCUCGAAUUAUGCCAACUCAACAUGUACCUUUGGAGACACCUGUAGAGCACCUUUAUAAUCACCCAGUUAGGUUGUGACGUUUGGUAGCACACAAAGUGUUCCUCCGGUAAACGGGAGUUGCACAAUCUCAUAGUUGUAGGAACUUUGUAUAAGUCAUGAAGAAAGCAAUAGCAACAUACUAAACGAUCAAGUGCUAAGCUAACGGAAUGGGUCAAGUCAAUCACAUCAUUCUCCUAAUGAUGUGAUCCCAUUAAUCAAAUGACAACACAUCUAUAUGGUUAGGAAACAUAACCAUCUUUGAUCAAUGAGCUAGUCAAGUAGAGGCAUACUAGUGACACUAUGUUUGUCUAUGUAUUCACACAUGUAUCAUGUUUCCGGUUAAUACAAUUCUAGCAUGAAUAAUAAACAUUUAUCAUGAUAAGAGGAAAUAAAUAAUAACUUUAUUAUUGCCUCUAGGGCAUAUUUCCUUCAACCCUUGCCCCUGGCGCAGCCCUCCCCCUCUCCAACUCCACCUCCUCCUCAGUAGUGCUUGGCGAAGCCCUGCCGGAGAAGUGCAAGCUCCACCACCACGCUGUCGUGCUGCCAGAGCUCUCCCUCAACUUCUCAUCUCCCCUUGCUGGAUCAAGAAGGAGGAGACGUCCCCGGGCUGUACGUGUGUUGAACGCGGAGGCACCGUCCGUUCGGCGCUAGAUCGGAUCUUCCGCGAUUUGAAUCGCCGCGAGUACGACUCCAUCAACCGUGUUCUUGUAACGCUUCCGCUUAGCGAUCUUCAAGGGUAUGAAGAUGCACUCCCUCUCUCUCUUGUUGCUAGAAUCUCCAUAGAUUGAUCUUGGUGAUGCGUAGAAAAUUUUGAAUUUCUGCUACGUUCCCCAACAGUGGCAUCAUGAGCUAGGUCUAUUGCGUAGAUUCUAUGCAUGAGUAGAACACAAGUAGUUGUGGGCGUUGGUUUUGUUCAAUAUGCUUACUGUUACUAGUCCUAUCUUGUUUCGACGGUAUUGUGGGAUGAAGCGGCCCGGACCGACCUUACACUUACACUUACAUGAGACAGGUUCCACUGACUAACAUGCACUUGUUGCAUAAGGUGGCUAGCGGGUGCCAGUCUCUCCCACUUUAGUCGGAUCGGAUUCGAUGAAAAGGGUCCUUAUGAAGGGUAAAUAGCAAUUGGCAUAUCACCGUUGUGGCUUUGCGUAGGUAAGAAACGUUCUUGCUAGACACCCUUUGCAGCCACGUAAAACAUGCAACAACAAUUAGAGGACGUCUAACUUGUUUUUGCAGGGUAUGCUAUGUGAUGUGAUAUGGCCAAAAAGAAUGUGAUGAAUGAUAUGUGAUGUAUGAGAUUGAUCAUGUUCUUGUAAUAGGAAUCACGACUUGCAUGUCGAUGAGUAUGACAACCGGUAGGAGCCAUAGGAGUUGUCUUAAUUUAUUGUAUGACCUGCGUGUCAUUGAAUAAUGCCAUGUAAUUACUUUACUUUAUUGCUAAACCGUUAGCCAUAGUAGUAGAAGUAAUAGUUGGCGAGACAACUUCAUGAGACACGAUGAUGGAGAUCAUGAUGAUGGAGUUCAUGGUGUCAUGCCGGUGACGAAGGUGAUCAUGUCGUGCCUCAAGAUGGAUAUCAAAGGCGCAAGAUGAUAUUGGCCAUAUCAUGUCACUUUAUGAUUUGCAUGUGAUGUUUGUCAUGUUUACAUCUUAUUUGCUUAGAACGACGGUAGCAUAAAUAAGAUGAUCCCUCACUUAAAUUUCAAGAAAGUGUUCCCCCUAACUGUGCACCGUUGCGAAAGUUCGUUGUUUCGAAGCACCACGUGAUGAUCGGGUGUGAUAGAUUCUAACGUUCACAUACAACGGGUGUAAGCCAGAUUUACACACGUGAAGCACUUAGGUUGACUUGACGAGCCUAGCAUAUACAGACAUGGCCUCGGAACACAAGAGACCGAAAGGUCGAACAUGAGUCGUAUAGUAGAUACGAUCAACAUGAAGAUGUUCGCCGAUGAUGACUAGUCCGUCUCACGUGAUGAUCGGACACGAACUAGUUGACUCGGAUCAUGUAUCACUUAGAUGACUAGAGGGAUGUCUAUCUGAGUGGGAGUUCAUUAGAUGAACUUAAUUAUCAUGAACAUAGUCAAAAGGUCUUUGCAAAUUAUGUCGUAGCUUACGCUUUAGUUCUACUGUUUAAGAUAUGUUCCUAGAGAAAAUUUAGUUGAAAGUUGACAGUAGCAAUUAUGCGGACUGGGUCCGUAUACUGAGGAUUGUCCUCAUUGCUGCACAGAAGGCUUAUGUCCUUAAUGCACCGCUCGGUGUGCUGAACCUCGAGCGUCGUUUGUGGAUGUUGCAAACAUCUGACAUACACGUUUUUGAUGACUACGUGAUAGUUUAGUGCGUAAUGUUAAACAGUUUAGAAUUGAGGCACGGAAGACAAUUUUGAAACGUCACAGAACAUAUGAGAUGUUCCAAGAGCUGAAAUUGGGAUUUCAGGCUCAUGCCCACGUCAAGAGGUAUGAGACCUCCGACAAGUUUCUUAACCUACAAACUAAGGGAGAAAAGCUCAAUCAUUGAGCAUGUGCUCAGAUUGUCUGACUACUAUAAUCACUUGAAUCGAGUGGGAGUUAAUCCUCCAGAUGAGAUAGUGAUGGUUCUCCAUAGUCACUGCCACCACGCUAUUAGAGCUUCGUGAUGAACUAUAACAUAUCAGGGAUAGACAUGAUGAUCCUUGAGCAAUUCGCGAUGUUUGACACCGCGAAUGUAGAAAUUGAGUAGGAGCACCAAUUGUUGAUGGUUAGUAAAACCACUAGUUUCAAGAAGGGCAAGGGCAAGAAGGGAUACUUCAUGAAACGGCAAAUUAGUUGCUGCUCUAGUGAAGAAACCCAAGGUUGAACCCAAACCGAGACUAAGUGCUUCUGCAAUGAGGGAACGGUCACUGAAGCAGAACUUCCCUAGAUACUUGGUAGAUGAGAAGGCUGGCAAGGUUGACAGAAGUACAUUGGAUAUACAUUAUAUUAAAUGUGUACUUUAAUAGUACUCCUAGUAGCACCAGGGUAUUAAGAUACCGGUCCGGUUGCUAAGUGUUAGUAACUCGAAAUAAAAGAGCUACAGAAUAAACAGAGACUAGCUGAAGGUGAGAUGACGAUGUGUGUUGGAAGUGUUUCCAAGGUUAAUGUGAUCAAGCAUCGCAUACUCGCUCUACCAUCGAGAUUGGUGUUAAACCUAAAUAAUUGGUUUUUGGUGUUUGCAUUGAGCAUAGACAUGAUUGGAUUAUGUUUAUCGCAAUACGGUUAUUCAAUUAAGGAGAAUAAUGGUUACUCUGUUUAUUUGAAUAAUACCUUCAAUGGUCUUGCACCUAAAAUGAAUGGUUUAUUGAAUCUCGAUCGUAGUGAUACACAUGUUCAUGCCAAAAGAUAUAAGAUAGUAAUGAUGGUACCACAUACUUGUGGCACUGCCAUUUGAGUCAUACUAGUAUAAAACGCAUGAAGAAGCUCCAUGUUUAUGGAUCUUUGGACUCACUCGUUGUUGAAAAGAUUGAGACAUGCAAACCAUGUCUAUUGGUAUAUAUGCAUGAAGAAACUCCAUACAGAUGGAUCGUUUGGACUCACUUGUUUUUGAAUCACUUGAGACAUGCAAAUCAUACCACAUGGGCAAGAUGACUGAAAGGCCUCGUUUUCAGUAAGAUGGAACAAGAAAGCAACUUGUUGGAAGUAAUACAUUUUGAUGUGUGCAGUCCAAUGAGUGCUGAGGCACGCAGUGGAUAUCGUUAUGUACUUACUUCACAGAUGAUUUGAAUAGAUGCUAAGUAUAUUUACUUGAUGAAACACAAAUCUGAAGUAUUGAAAGGUUCAAGUAAUUUCAGAGUGAAGUUGAAGAUCAUCGUGACAAGAGGAUAAAAUGUCUAUGAUAUGAUCAUAGAGAUGAAUAUCUGAGUUAUGAGUUUGGCACACAAUUAAGACAUUGUGGAAAUUGUUUCACAACUAAUACCGCCUGGAACACCAUAGUGUGAUGGUGUGUCCGAACAUCAUAACUGCACCCUAUUGGAUUUAGUGCAUACCAUGAUGUCUCUUAUCAAAUUAACACUAUCGUUUAUGGGUUAGGCAUUAGAGACAACCACAUUCACUUUAAUAGGGCACCACGUAAUUCUGUUGAGAUGACAGCGUAUGAACUAUGGUUUAGAGAAACAUAAGCUGUCAUUUCUGAAAAGUUUGGGGCUGCGACGCUUAUGUGGAAAAGUUUUAGCCUGAUAAGCUCAAACCCAAAGCGGAUAAAUGCAUCUUCAUAGGACACCCAAAAACAGUUGGGUAUACCUCCUGUCUCUGAUUCAGAAGCAAAAGUGAUUGUUUCUAGAAAUGGGUCCUUUCUCGAGGAAAAGUUUCUCUUGAAAGAAUUGAGUGGGAGGAUGGUGGAGACUUGAUGAGGUUAUUGAACCAUCACUUCAACCAAUCUGUAGCAGGCCACAGGAAGUUGUUCCUGUGGCGCCUACACCAGUUGAAGUGGAAGCUGAUGAUAGUGAUCAUGAAACUUCGGAUCAAUUCACUACCAAACCUCGUAGGUCGACAAGGACGCGUACUGCUUUGGAGUGGUACGGUAAUCCUGUCUUGGAGGUCAUGUUGCUAGACAACAAUGAACCUACGAGUUGUGGAGAAGAGAUGGUGGGCCCAGAUUCCAACAAAUGGCUCGAGGCCAUAAAAUCCGAGAGAGGAUCCAUGUAUAAAACAAAGUGUAGACUUUGGAAGAACUACUUGAUGGCCGUAAGCUGUUGGGUACAUAUGGAUUUUAAAAGGGAAGACGGACAACGAUGGUAAGUGUCACCAUUAAGGAAGCUCGACUUAUCGCUAAGAUGUUUUCCGACAAGUUCAAGGAGUUGACUACGAUGAGACUUUCUCACCCGUAGCGAUGCUAAGAGUCUGUUGAAAAAUUAUAUUAUUAGUUCUUGCAUUACUUAUGAAAUCUUGCAGAUAGGAUGUCAAAACAUUGUUUCCUCAAAGAUUUUCUUGAGGAAAGGUUGUAUGUGAUACAACCAGAAAGUUUUUGUCAAUCCUAAAAGAUGCUAACAAGUAUGCAAAGCUCUAGCGAUCCUUUAAGGACUGGAGUAAGCAUCUUGGAGUUGGAAUAUACGCUUUGAUGAGAUGAUCAAAGAUUUUGGGUUUAUACAAAGUUUAUGAGAAACUUGUAUUUCCAAAGAAGUGAGUGGGAGCACUAUAGCAUUUCUGAUGAGUAUAUGUUGUUGACAUAUUGUUGAUCUGAAAUGAUGUAGAAUUUCUGGAAAGCAUAUAGGGUUAUUUGAAAAGUGUUUUUCAAUGGAAAACCUGGAUUAAGAUACUUGAACAUUGUGCAUCAAGAUCUAUAAGGAUAGAUCAAAAUCGCUUGAUAGUACUUUCAAAUGAGUACGCACUGUGACAAGAUUUUGAAGGAGUUCAAAAUAGAUCGACAAAGAAGGAGUUCCUGGCUGUGUUAUAAGGUGUGAGUAUUGAGUAAGAAUCAAGACCUGACCACGGCAGAAGAGAGAGAAAGGACGAAGGUCGUCCCCUAUGCUUUAGACGUAGGCUCCACAGUAUGAUAUGUUGUGUACCGCACAUAAAGUGUGCCUUGCCAUGAGUCAGUCAAGGGGUACAAGUGUGAUCCAGGAAUGGAUCACAGGACAGCGGUCAAGGUUAUCCUUAGUAACUAGUGGACUAAGGAAUUUUCUCGAUUAUGGAGGUGGUAAAAGAGUUCGUCGUAAAGGGUUACGCCGAUGCAAACUUUGACACUAAUCUGGAUGAUUCUGAGUAGUAGACCAGAUUCGUAUAGUAGAGCAGUUAUUUGGAAUAGUUCCAAAUAGCGCAUGGUAGUUGCAUCUAGGAGAUGACAUAAAGAUUUUUAAAGCACACAUGGAUCUGAAAGAUUCAGACUCGUUGACUAAUAACCUCUCUGACAAGCGAGAUAUGAUCAAACCCAAUGGGUGCUGGAUUCAUUACAAUCACAUACUGAUGUGAACUAGAUUAUUGACUCUAGUGCAAGUGGGAGACUGUUGGAAAUAUGCCCUAGAGGCAAUAAUAAAAUGGUUAUUAUUAUAUUUCCUUGUUCAUGAUAAUUGUCUAUUGUUCAUGCUAUAAUUGUAUUAACUGGAAACUGUAAUACAUGUGUGAAUACAUAGACCACAACAUGUCCCUAGUUGACUAGCUCGUUGAUCAAUAGAUGGUUAUGGUUUCCUGACCAUGGACAUUGGAUGUCAUUGAUAACAGGAUCACAUCAUUAGGAGAAUGAUGUGAUGGACAAGACCCAAUCCUAAGCAUAGCACAAGAUCGUGUAGUUCGUUUGCUAAAAUCUUUUCUAAUGUCAAGUAUCAUUUCCUUAGACCAUGAGAUUGUGCAACUCCCGGAUACCGUAGGAAUGCUCUGGGUGUGCCAAACGUCACAACGUAACUGGGUGGCUAUAAAGGUGCACUACGGGUAUCUCCGAAAUUGUCUGUUGGGUUGGCACGAAUCGAGACUGAGAUUUGUCACUCCGUGUGACGGAGAGGUAUCUCUGGGCCCACUCGGUAAUGCAUCAUCAUAAUGAGCUCAGUGUGACUAAGUAGUUAGUCACGGGAUCAUGCAUUACGGAACGAGUAAAGUGACUUGCCGGUAACGAGAUUGAACGAGGUAUUGGGAUACCGACGAUCGAAUCUCGGGCAAGUAGCGUACUGAUUGACAAAGGGAAUUGUAUACGGGAUUGCUUGAAUACUUGACAUCGUGGUUCAUCCGAUGAGAUCAUCAUGGAACAUGUGGGAGCCAACAUGGGUGUCCAUAUCUCGCUAUUGGUUAUUGGCCAAAGAGCUGUCUCGGUCAUGUCUGCAUGAUUCCCGAACCCGUAGGGUCUACACACUUAAGGUUCCGUGACGCUAGAGUUGUUAUGGGAAUUAGUGUGCAGUUACCGAAUGUUGUUCGGAGUCCCGGAUGAGAUCUCGGACGUCACGAGGAGUUCCAGAAUGGUCCGGAGGUAAAGAUUUAUAUAUGGGAAGUCCUAUUUUGGCCAACAGAAAAUGUUUAGGAUUUUUUGGUAUUAUACCGGGAAGGUUCUAGAAAGUUCCGGAGUGGGGCCCACCUGCAUGGGGGGACCCACAUGAACGUGGGUAGUGGGGGCAAGGCCCCACACCCCUGGUCAAGGCGCACCAAGAUCCCCCCUUAGAAGGAAUAAGAUCAUAUCCCGAAGGGAUAAGAUCAAGAUCCCUAAAAAGGGGGGAGAAUAAUCGGUUGGGAAGGGAAAUGAUGUGGUUUCUUUCCUCCACCUUUUCCAAUGCCCCAAUGGACUUGGAGGGAAAGAAACCAGCCCCCUCCACCCCUAUAUAUAGUGGGGAGGCGUAUGGGAGCUGCAACCCUUGCCCCUGGCGCAGCCCUCCCCCUCUCCAACUCCACCUCCUCCUCAGUAGUGCUUGGCGAAGCCCUGCCGGAGAACUGCAAGCUCCACCACCACGCCGUCGUGCUGCCGGAGCUCUCCCUCAACUUCUCCUAUCCCCUUGCUGGAUCAAGAAGGAGGAGACGUCCCCGGGCUAUACGUGUGUUGAACGCGGAGGCGCCAUCCGUUUGGCGCUAGAUCGGAUCUUCCGCGAUUUGAAUCACCACGAGUACGACUCCAUCAACCGCGUUCUUGUAACGCUUCCUCUUAGCGAUCUUCAAGGGUAUGAAGAUGCACUCCCUCUCUCUCUUGUUGCUAGAAUCUCCAUAGAUUGAUCUUGGUGAUGCGUAGAAAAUUUUGAAUUUCUGCUACGUUCCCCAACAUCAUCAUCAUGGAGAACCGCAAAGUUCAAGCAUGUCUAACGACAUCGUCAACAUAUGCCUAUGUCACUCGAGCAAGGCUUUCCCCUUUGGGCAAUACAACCCUACCACCAACAUCAGCUAGCGGUAUAUACCAAGGCCAACCCUUCCUUAUGCAAACUCAAAUUUUUCUCAAGAGCUCGGUCAUUGUCGGACUUGCAACCUCAUCAUUCCUCCAGGUUUUAUCUAGCUUGGCUACUGAAAUAAAAUUUUGGAACUUAAUCGAUGUCUUCUUUAAACAACUGAAAGCUACCUUACUUAGGGCUUACUAAUAAAAUACAUCAUAUGUGUGUAUUGUAUGAUGAUUUCUUUGGACAUGCAUUGCAAUUACAAUUAUCCGUUUGGUAGUUUUUCUUAUUCUUACAACAUUUUGUUUUGAUGUAUUGUUACUUUGGUUAUGACGACAUAAUAAAUUUGUGGUUAUGUGCAUCUAUAUUUUAUGCAAAGACACAUGUACUAUAUCUAGCUCAUUCAUUUCAUGAAAAAAGAGGGAUGAGAUCUACCAAUUGCCUUUUCAGCCACAUAGUUCAUGGGGUAGUCUAAAUGUAUAACUUUGACAUAUUCCAAUAAGAAAGCACUUUUAAUAAAUCUACUUUAUGACACCUACCAACUAUAUUUUGCUCUAUGUGUGCCUCAAUAUAUAACCAUCAAACUACUACUCAUUUCACAUAUGACCAGCCACCUUAUGAUACUUCAUAGGUUUAAAUUCCAUGCUCAUCUAUGCUCUAUGAUUCUAGUACAUGCUAGUUUGUUGGAACAGAUUGUUAGGAACAUAUCAUGCUCAAUCAUGAAAUAUACUACAUUAAGGUUGGCCGUCGACUUGGUUGGGCCAUAUAUAAGAAAGCACACACAUAUCCAUGAGGUACAAUAUGUGUGAUGUAAAAGUACACACACACACACACACACACACACACACACCUUAUUUAGUUUAUAAGUUGCUUGGAAUGAGCGGCCCAGGAAAACAUCUAUCACAGGAUGUAUGGAGUGCACAUUAAAAAUCUGAGGCUUCACUCCAAAAUCUUCCUCAUGAAGAAGAUGUAAUUUUUUUACUUCAAACUUUUCUUCACUCUUGUGGUCUUUUUGACUAGGAUACCCUAGCAAAGGGAGAUGAGCGAACCUGUCUUAUUGACGUUUGAUGAGUUAGCAAUUUGCUUCCUUUGGAGUAGCUGCCUCAUCUUUUGGCGUUUCCUCUUGAGCCUCCUCAUGUUCUUCUUCUUCCACGGCACAUAAUUGCAAAAGGAUGUACAAAUCAGUACACAAUGUAUAAUAUAAUUUUAAAUGUGAAGAGUACAAAGUAGGACAAGAAAACAUAUAAUUGUUGGAAGCAUGAGUAUUGAGUGUUCAGACUUGAUCGGCCUCAUUGCGUGAUGAUCAAUUGGUUAAAUGAACAAAUAGAAAGCAAGGGUAAACGAAACAAGGGCAGAUCUUACAACACAGUAUUUGGCAAAAAGUGAUAAGAAUGAAAGAGUGAGAUGAAUCUUUCUCCGAAAGAGAGCAUAUAUGCAAUCGUUUUGAACUUAAGAAUGAGUGGGAAGAUUUUUUUUUUCAUCAGGUAGAUUGUCUUCCUCAUUGUGCCAACAACACAGUUAAUCCUAAAAUGGAGUCACAAAGUUAAAGACUAAUCAUCUUCUUUCAAACAAAUGCCUUGAUUAUACACAUGGUUUAAUAGAAUGGAUUACAUCACACUCGUCAUAUAUUUUAAUCGCUACAGAGAAUUAACACAACAAUAUCAACUAUUUAUACCUAACACCAGUACUCUCUCCGUUCCUAAAUAUAAUUCUUUUUAGAGAUUCCAAUACGAACUACAUACGGAUGUAUAUAGAUAUAUUUUAGAGUGUAGGUUCACUCAUUUUGCUCCGUAUUUAGUCCAUAUUGGAAUCUCUAAAAAAGACUUAUAUUUAGGAACGGAGGGAGUAGUCAAGCAAAAUACAUACGCACAUAUAAUGACUAAAAAAGCCUGGGGCAAGUUUAAUAACUAUUCUCCGAGACAAAUGCCUCAUUAUUCCACACGGUUUAGUAUAAUAGAUUACAUCUGACUCUUAACCUCUGUUCAUCAUCAUUGAGAACAAUAACACUAGAAAUACCGACAAUUUGACUUGAAUGUCAUGACUCAUGGGCGGCCUAGCAAAUCUUCUCUUAUCAACCUGUGCACACACACUACAUCUAAUGCGUAGUAGCAACCACAGAGCAAAAUAUGUUGCUUCUUGUCCGUGGUUUAAAUUAAGUGAAAUUUUCAAGGUUAGCAUAUCAUCGUGUAGCACGGUUGCUAUUUGUAUGUACACACAUACAAAAAUAAGGUGUGUGCAUUGAAUGCUUCAUCCUAGUGAUCCUUCCAUUGUCUAAAAAGUGUCCAGGGGUUAGUAUUGAUAUUUGGUCACAUCGGAUUUAAGCUAAGCCCGUGAUGCAGACUCAAGUUUGAAAUAUGUCAGGCCCUGACCUUGAGCAUGAUCUGUUUGACAGCUCUAGCAAAAUGAUAGAUUCAACCCAAGAAAAUUAGUGAUGAAAUAGUAAUAGAUUGAUAUCUUCUCCUAUUAGUCACCUACCGACAUUCAUAAAUUGCGAUAGUACUUGAGCCAUCAAAGUUGCAGGGAGGGACUUGAAAAUAACUUUGCCAUGUGCAAGGUUAUUACCUCAAGUACUUGACCACAAGUAGUAUAUGGUAUCAUCUUUGCUAUUUCCUUUCUAGAAGUCAGUUCACACGACGCACAGACGCAUUCUUGUGACCCGUGAUUAACAAUGUUUGUGAUCCUAACCAAACACAUUGCUCAUCACAUUUUAGCCUCUUUUGUUUGUUGUAAGCAUGUGAAGACAAAAUCACUUGUUGAUGUGAAUGUGGUGCACUGAAGCACCAUGGCGGCUUGGGAAUGAGUGGCAUCGUGAAAACAUGUCAAACAAUGAUGAUUCUUGAGGUUGUUUGGUUUGGUUCCUGGUCACAAGGUGUGGAUGUUGUGUGGAGGACGUUUAGUGUGUGUCCUCGAGAGUGGAUGGCUUGCCCGUCAUGAUUCCAUAUAGGCAUGAGAUUAUCCUGGCCCAAGCGCUCGAACUCCGAUGCAUGUGCGAGCAUCGUCUGCAACCUGGAUGCUAAGCGCUUGGUUGGUACUUCGGUUUCCAGCCGAAUCCCUCUGUAAAACAUACACCCCUGUAAAGAAGAUCAUUUUUGCCCUAGAAAAAUUACACCCGUUUCUUAGAUUAUGCUGGUAUUUGUCCGGUAUUUCCCUUUGUCUCGAUCCACAUAAACGAGUACAAGCACACACGCCCCGGGACGGCCUGUGCCAAAGCAGGGCACCAGCGACCGUGACGGUUGGGCUGGAGGAUCCCUGGCUCUCACCGGCCAUAAAAAUGCAAGGACUGGGUGGCAAUUGUUAGAACUCAGAAAAUUAAGAGUAAACUUGUAUUGGUUGAUAGACAGAGUACAACUUAUAUAUGUCUUGAAGAGAUGCAUCUCAUAGGUCGCGACGGUUCAUACAGGCGCAUCCUAGAGAUGCGUCGGUUGGUGCUAAGUAAUUGCCGUGCAGUUAAACAAGAGGAGAUUUUCCCUAAUUAAUAUAUGUGCAAAUUAAUCACAACACUCCCCCUAGUCUAUGCUUGUCUAUAUAGAAUCGUCAUAGGAUCAUCAGGUAGAAUCGUCAUCUUGAAAGAUUGUCCAGGUUGCAUCAUCAUCUCAAAGGAUUCUUCUCCGACAAUUCUUCAUUAAUAUUCUUGACGAGAACCUGAAACAUAAAAUUCACAGAGAAAAAGAAAUGUAAUAUGAUACUUCAAACAGGUACAGUUCAAGGAGACACUCCCCCUGAUUCUUGCAAGUCCCGAAGUCGUCGCAUACCAAUUCCAUGAACAUAUUUCUGGAAUGUAGAAUUUGGUAGAGACUUGGUAAAUAAAUCAGCAAGAUUUUCACAUGAUUUAAUUUGCAAGAUGUUUAUUUCCCCCUUUUUCUGAAGAUCAGGGGAAAAAGCACUUAGGAGAAAUAUGUUUAGUGAUAUUACUGUUGAUGUAUCAUGUUUGCAUCUGUGCAACACAACCGCAUUAUCUUCGUAGAUAAUGGUAGGUGAUUCUAUAGAACCAAUUCCACAUGACUGUUGUAUGUGGUUUAUCAUUCUACGAAGCCACACACAUUCGCGUGAUGCCUCAAAUAAUGAAAUUAUUUCAGAAUGAUUGGUAGAUGUUGCCACCAGAGUCUGUUUAGAAGACUUCCAUGAUAUGGCAGUUCCACCAUGUAGGAACACAAAGUCGGACUGCGAUCUGGCAUUAUGGGAUCAGAUAAAUAGCCAGCAUCGGCGUAUCCAAUCAUAUUAGAGUCUUGAUUUCUCUGGAACUGAAAGAAUAGGCCAAGAUCCUUUGUGCCUUGGAGAUAUCGAAAGAUAUUCUUAACUCAGGACCAAUAGCGUUUGGUGGGAGCUGCGCUAUGUCUAGCAAGUAGAUUCACUGCAAAUGCGAGGCCAGGUCUCGUGCAAUUUGCAAGAUACGUGAGCGCUCCAACGGCACUAAGAUAUGGAACCUCAGGUCCCAAUAUUUCUUCUCCAUCGUCCCUUGGCCUGAACGGAUCUUUCUCUACGUCUAGAGAGCGAACCACCAUGGGAGUUUUAGAUGGGUAGGAUUUGUCCAUAUUGAAUUUCUCCAAUAUUUUCUGGAUAUAAGCAGCUUGGUAUACCAUGAUUCCUGAGGUGAGGUGCUCAAAUUGAAUACCUAAGCAAAUUUUGGUUUUACCCAAAUCCUUCAUCUCAAAUUCUAUCUUUAGAUGAUUGUGUGCUUCAUCAAUGUCAUGUGUGUUGCCAAUGAUGUUGAGGUCAUCGACGUACACUGAAAUGAUGCAAAAUCCUGUAUAGGACUUUUUGAUAGACACAUGGGCAAUCACUACUAUUAGAGUAGCCUUUUUGUAGAAGGAACUCAUUAAGUCGGUUGUACCACAUCCGUCCCGACUGUCUUAAGCCAUAUAUUGACUUAUUAAGUUUUACACAAUACAUGUUGCAUUUUGCGCUUGUAUUCGGGAUAGAGAUUCCGUCAGGAACCUUCAUAUACAUGUCUAAAUCUAGUGACCCGUAAAGAUAUGCGGUCACGACAUCCAUCAACUGCAUAUAUAGACGGUUUUGCACUGCCAAAGAUAUAAGGUAUCGGAAAGUGGUUCCACUCAUUACAGGAGAAUAUGUUUCAUCAAAAUCAAUGUCGGGUCUCUGCGUGAACCCUUGCGCUACGAGCCUUGCUUUGUAUCUCACCACCUCAUUGUUCUCAUUCCGUUUCCGGAGAAAAACCCAUUUGUAUCCGACAGGGAAAACAUUGGGAGGUGUCGGUAUUGCUUUAGUGAAUACCUUUCUUUUGUUAAGCGAGGCAAUUUCUGCUUGUAUUGCGUCCUUCCAUUUAGGCCAGUGGGAGCGCUUUUGGCACUCAACGAUAGUCUUUGGAUCAUGAUCAGUCAUAAGGAUAUCUGCAAUUUUUUCAGCAAAAUAAAUGUUGACAGUCGUAAACUUACGGUCGAAAGAUUCUCCAGAAUCGAUAUAGUUGAUGGAAAUUUCCUGCACCCCUAGUGACUCUUCAUGUUUUCCCAAUACGCGUGAGUCUGGGUGUUUUGAUGGCCCAGCCAGUGUGUGCAAACUGAAGCUGGGUUGUGGAGGUUGUCCUUCCACUGGGUGUAUACUACCCAUAAGGUGUUUGUCAAUGUUGAGCUGACCUGCAUUUACUAACUCCGGGGUUUUUCUCCUCGAUCUCCUUUGUUGCUUGCUGGAAGCUUGUUCCAGGUCAGAGGUCGUACUACUCCCCCUCUUUUUAGGAAUAGGGAGUUGAGUGGUUUUUAUUAGUACCUCCACUCUUUCGGGCGCAUUUCUGGACGGAUUUAAGGACUUUGUAACACCUUUUAGAUCAGUAAAUGAAUCUGGCAGGUUAUUUGCAAGAUGUUGCAAAUUAAUGAUUUUCCAAACUUGGAGUUCAGUCUCUUGUGUACGUGGAUCAGAGUACGAAAUGGCUUGAGCAUUCCAAUCAAUUUCCGGGCAUUCUUUCUGGUACUUGAAAUCUCCCCCUAAUGCCGGAAAGUGUUCCUCAUUAAAUAUACAAUCAGCGUGACGGGCUGUGAACAGGUCCCCAGUAAGUGGUUCUAGGUACUUAAUAAUCGACGGCGAUUUGUACCCCACAUAGAUCCCCAAUUUCCUAUGUGGGCCCAUGGAUGUCCGCUGUGGUGGUGAGAACGGGAUGUAUGCAGCACAUCCGAACUUGUGCAGAUGGGAAAUGCUAGGAGGAUUUCCACGUACCAAUUGUAGAGGGGAAGUACUGUGAUAUGCAGUAGGCCUCAAUUGUAUCAAGUCAGCAGUGUGUAGGCAAGUUGCAAUUCAUUAACAAAGGUCUUGCAAUGAGUUUGAUCAUUUUAAUCAAUGAUUCAGCUAAACCAUUUUGUGUAUGGACAUAUGGAACGGAGUGCUGAACUUCAAUCCACAGGGCCAUGCAAUAAUCAUUGAAAGCACGUGAGGAGAAUUCUGCAGCGUUGUCCAUGCGAAUUGUCUUAAUUUGGCUUUCUGGAUAAUGGGCUUGUAACUUAAUAACUUGCCUCAUUAUCUUGGCAAAUGCAUGGUUUCACGUGGAUAGAAGAUACACGUGUGACCAUCAUGUAGAUGCAUCAAUUAGAACCAUGAAGUACCGGAAAGGUCCAGAUAAUGGUUGGAUGGGACCACAAAUGUCUCCUUGAAUGCGUUCAAGAAAUUGAAGUGGUUCAACUUGUAUUUUGAGGUAGACAGAGUACAGCUUAUAUAUGUCUUGAAGAGAUGCGUCGCACAAGUCGCGACGGUUCGUACAGGCGCAUCCUAGAGAUGCGUCGGUUGGUGCUAAGUAACCGCUGUGCAGUUAAACAAGAGGAGAUUUUCCCUAACUAAUACUUCCUCCUUUCCAUUAUGUAAGGUGUAUUAUUUUCAGCAUGGUGACCAAGGCACAAAAUUAUAGACAUGUUAGGACUGAAUUACCCUUGGCAAAUUUGUUAAUUAGUGAUAAGUAAAUCAAUUAGUCCAGGAAAGUAAGAGAUGCAUGCAAUCGACAGAGAGAUACUUUCCUUAUUUUGCCAAAGGAGAGAUAUAGACAAUCAGGAGAGGGAUACUUUCCAUUUUUAUACAGGGCUAACAAGGGAAGAAGAAAUGCACCUGCAAAUUAAUCACAGCAGCAAUCACUCUCUGCUCCCAACCUGGCUGGGGGUGGCAACAAGGUGGGUCUCGGACUCCAACUCCUGGCCCGGUGGAUCUCGUCCUCGCGCCUGACCGUGUUGUGACGAACGAGGGGCAGAUGCCUCUGAGCAUGUUUGGUAUGCCGCGUCCUCGAGCACUCAAACAGUGCAUGGGAGCACCGGCUGCAGUCUAUGUGCCCCCUUAUAAAAAAGGAGAAAGAUUGCACAUAUCUCUCUUUUUCUAAAGAUUUAUCACAAGUACAGAGCACCCCUAGAAUGGAGAAAAAUGACUCUCAACACUAAGCCAAGAGAUCAUCUAAAAGAUAAGAGAAGUUGUAAAAUUGUUUCUCUCUUUCAAUCUGCGCCUGAAACAAAACUACGGCUGCAGAGGAAGAGCUCCGUAAUGAGGUCUGCUUGUUGUAGGGGCAGAUUGAGUACUCAUAGCAAUUCCAGUUGUAAAUAUGCUUUCGACAAGCAAAUGGAAACAAAACAAACUAAAAUAACACUCAAAACAUCAGAUGCAUGCCAGAAAAGAAGGAACAGGCAGGGCAACAGAUCAAAAAUAGACGAUAAUAUUUCUUAAGCCAAAUAUCCAGCCUUGGAAGGAAAGCAUAUAAUUAUCCUCAUGUUACAAGGGUUGGCAUCCCCCAAAUAUCACAACAACCCAGACAUAUCAGGAACCAAAAGACCCUAUCAUCCCAACAGACUGGUGCAGUGAUACAAGGUUAAGCUUUCUCCUCGUUCACCUACUUGGAUCGCUGCCUCAUCUUUCGGCGCUUCCUCUUGAGCCUCCUCAUCCUCUUCUUCUUCCACUGCAAAGUAAAGUAGCCGCACAGUUCAUUAACACUAGAAAUAUUCCAGGAAAUGCUUAGGAACACAACAAUAAUUCCAAUAUGAAAACUGAGAUAUAGUACUAUGUGACUUGGAAUCAGAAGAUUGAGUGUUUCAUUGGAUAUCAUCACAUGAUUUUCAGAAACACGGACCAAUUGUUCUUCAUCAUAUCCCAAACUGAAGUCAAUUUCAAAGGCAAAUAGGAAAAAACUAUGAUAAGAUAUCUGAAGAACCAGCUAAGCAAAGUAUAGAAUCACAGUCGGUUUGACAUUCAGAAUGAGUAGGAGGAUUUUAUCAUCAAAUAGAUCAGACGCCAAUUGUCUUCCUCAUCAUGCCAACCGACGCAAUUGUUUAUACAAAAAAAAGUAGGGAGAAUGAGCACUCUAGGAGAUGCAUAGGAACAUAACAACAAUUCAAUCAUGAAAAUGGAAAGAUAGUUCAUGUGAUUUAGAAUCAGAAGAUUUGAGUGUUUCAUUGGUUAUCAUCACAUGAUUUUCAGAAACACGGACCAAUUGUUCUUCAUCAUAUCCCAAACUAAAGCUGAUUUCAAAGGCAAAUAGGAAACAACUAUGCUAAGAUAUCUAAAGAACUACUUAAGCAAAGCAGAGAUCUGCAUUCGGUUUGACAUUCAGAAUGAGUAGGAGGAUUUUAUCAUCAAAUAGAUCAGACAGCAAUUGUCUUCCUCAUCAUGCCAACCACACAAUUAUACACAAAACAAACAGCGGGAGAAAACGAGCUAAGCAAUCAGCGUUCUCUCAGACAAAUGCCUCGAUUGUCCACAUGGUGUAAUAGAAUGGAUUACAUCAGACUCGUCAUCUGUUUUAAUCAUCACAGAGAACAAACACAACACUAACAACAUUGUACCGAACACCAGCAGUCAAGCAAAUCUAAUGAAGACACAUGCAGAAAUUGCGUCAAAGAAAGAAGAAGACAAAGUUAGGGGGCAUUGACAAGUAUUCUCUCAGACAAAUGCCUCGAUUGUCCACACGGUGUAAUAGAAUGGAUUACAUCAGAC